GGAGGACCAUCUCCCAAGGCUAAAUACUCCCUAGUGACCGAUAGUGAACCAGUACCGUGAGGGAAAGGUGAAAAGCACCCCGGAAGGGGAGUGAAACAGUUCCUGAAACCGUGUGCCUACAAGUAGUUAGAGCCCGUUAAUGGGUGAUAGCGUGCCUUUUGUAGAAUGAACCGGCGAGUUACGAUUUGUUGCAAGGUUAAGCGGAAAAAGCGGAGCCGUAGCGAAAGCGAGUCUGAAUAGGGCGCAUAAGUAACAGGUCGUAGACCCGAAACCAGGUGAUCUACCCAUGUCCAGGAUGAAGGUAAGGUAAUACUUACUGGAGGUCCGAACCCACGCACGUUGAAAAGUGCGGGGAUGAGGUGUGGGUAGCGGAGAAAUUCCAAUCGAACUUGGAGAUAGCUGGUUCUCUCCGAAAUAGCUUUAGGGCUAGCCUCGAGGUAAAGAGUCAUGGAGGUAGAGCACUGUUUGGACUAGGGGCCCUUCUCGGGUUACCGAAUUCAGAUAAACUCCGAAUGCCAUGUACUUAUACUCGGGAGUCAGACUGCGAGUGAUAAGAUCCGUAGUCGAAAGGGAAACAGCCCAGACCACCAGUUAAGGUCCCCAAAUAUAUGUUAAGUGGAAAAGGAUGUGGGGUUGCUUAGACAACCAGGAUGUUGGCUUAGAAGCAGCCACCAUUGAAAGAGUGCGUAAUAGCUCACUGGUCGAGUGACCCCGCGCCGAAAAUGUACCGGGGCUAAACAUAUUACCGAAACUGUGGAUGAACCUCUUUAGAGGUUCGUGGUAGGAGAGCGUUCUAAGGGCGGUGAAGUCAGACCGGAAGGACUGGUGGAGCGCUUAGAAGUGAGAAUGCCGGUAUGAGUAGCGAAAGAAGGGUGAGAAUCCCUUCCACCGAAUAUCUAAGGUUUCCUGAGGAAGGCUCGUCCGCUCAGGGUUAGUCGGGACCUAAGCCGAGGCCGAUAGGCGUAGGCGAUGGACAACAGGUAGAGAUUCCUGUACCAGUGCUAAUUGUUUAACCGAUGGGGUGACACAGAAGGAUAGGGAAUCGCACGAAUGGAAAUGUGCGUCCAA
Molecule: ribosomal RNA, 1068 nt
Filed under: Listeria monocytogenes
Lineage: Bacteria; Bacillati; Bacillota; Bacilli; Caryophanales; Listeriaceae
Description: partial 23S ribosomal RNA
Rfam family: Bacterial large subunit ribosomal RNA
Source: RNAcentral